This 254-nucleotide ribosomal RNA is filed under the name uncultured bacterium. RNAcentral describes it as "partial 16S ribosomal RNA". It matches the Rfam family "Bacterial small subunit ribosomal RNA", at positions 524 to 776 of the family's 1533-position model. The record is from RNAcentral.
UACGUAGGGCGCAAGCGUUUGUCCGGAAUUAUUGGGCGUAAAGCGCGCGCAGGCGGUCCUUUAAGUCUGAUGUGAAAGCCCACGGCUCAACCGUGGAGGGUCAUUGGAAACUGGGGGACUUGAGUACAGAAGAGGAAAGCGGAAUUCCACGUGUAGCGGUGAAAUGCGUAGAGAUGUGGAGGAACACCAGUGGCGAAGGCGGCUUUCUGGUCUGUAACUGACGCUGAGGCGCGAAAGCGUGGGGAGCAAACAGG